GAUGAACGCUGGCGGCGUGCCUAAUACAUGCAAGUCGAGCGAACAGACGAGGAGCUUGCUCCUCUGACGUUAGCGGCGGACGGGUGAGUAACACGUGGAUAACCUACCUAUAAGACGGGGAUAACUUCGGGAAACCGGAGCUAAUACCGGAUAAUAUAUUGAACCGCAGGGUUCAAUAGUGAAAGACGGUUUUGCUGUCACUUAUAGAUGGAUCCGCGCCGCAUUAGCUAGUUGGUAAGGUAACGGCUUACCAAGGCAACGAUGCGUAGCCGACCUGAGAGGGUGAUCGGCCACACUGGAACUGAGACACGGUCCAGACUCCUACGGGAGGCAGCAGUAGGGAAUCUUCCGCAAUGGGCGAAAGCCUGACGGAGCAACGCCGCGUGAGUGAUGAAGGUCUUCGGAUCGUAAAACUCUGUUAUUAGGGAAGAACAAAUGUGUAAGUAACUAUGCACGUCUUGACGGUACCUAAUCAGAAAGCCACGGCUAACUACGUG
RNAcentral lists this ribosomal RNA (497 nucleotides) under uncultured bacterium. Its description in RNAcentral is "partial 16S ribosomal RNA". It matches the Rfam family "Bacterial small subunit ribosomal RNA", at positions 28 to 507 of the family's 1533-position model. The record is from RNAcentral.